Molecule: long non-coding RNA, 1775 nt
Filed under: Oryctolagus cuniculus (rabbit)
Lineage: Eukaryota; Metazoa; Chordata; Mammalia; Lagomorpha; Leporidae
Description: lncRNA (ENSOCUG00000037330.1)
Source: RNAcentral
AUGGGGAUGGCUUUGAGAUGCGGAUGCUGUAGAUGUCAACUCCUUAGGCCUUUGUCACACACACAGAAGCUCAUUUCUGACUUCCUACCUGACUACCCCAGGGCAGCACGCGGUCACACCACGCGGGAACCUGGGGAGAAGUGCACAUCCCGCGGGUGGACGGAGCUGUCGCAGGGCAGCACGCGGUCACACCACGCGGGAACCUGGGGAGAAGUGCACACCGCGGCGGGUGGACGGAGCUGCCCCAGAGCAGCACGCGGUCACACCACGCGGGAACCUGGGGAGAAGCCCCGCAUACCCCGGCACACCCCGCGUGGACGGAGCUGCCGCAGGGCAGCACGCGGUCACACCACGCGGGAACCUGGGGAGAAGUGCACACCCCGCGGGUGGACGGAGCUGCCCCAGGGCAGCACGCGGUCACACCGCGCGGCGAGCCCAGGACGCGGCGGGCUCCCGCGGGCAUUCACUGCCGGUCCUGACUGCUCAUCCGCCCGGCAGGCCAGGGCCUGUGGCCGCUCUGCUCGCGGCUGCGCGCCCUCCACACGCGUGCACGCGAGCCACUCGGGCCGAAAGCCCCGGGCGCACGGGCUGCCUGUUCUCUCUGCCCGUCCUACACCCCCAAACGAGACGGAGCAGCCUCGCUCAGGGGAUGCCACGGGACUGCGGUUCAGGGUUGGGAGGAGGCCCCGUUUCCUUGCUCACUGCUGGCGGCCCUCAGCUCCUCCCUGAUGGUCUCGGCAUUGCCCGCCCCGUCCUCCAGGUCAGCACUGCAGAGAACCACCUAGAAAUUCCUUCAGAGAGAAACGUGACAUAGCCUUGUCACUGAUAGUCCCCUUGAAGCACCUGAAACCAAGCAGCCCCGUUAAAUGGAAGCCCAUGCCAUGACACAUGGUACUCCAGCGACGUCCUAGUGUUGUUUCUGAAAUAACUAUUUGCUUUUAUACAGCAUUCUGUAAUUUACAAAGCCCUUUUAUCAACAUUAUUUAAUUCCGUUCUCUUUAUAGUAGAAGAAGAUACACACAAGUUUUAUCAUCUGUUUUUGAGAGGUGAGGAAAACUGACAGCCUCUGGAACAUGAAGCGUCUCGUGUGACUCUUCCAGGCCACCUUAACUGACGAGACUGUGCUUCGGAGCCGUUUCUUCCAACUCCUGUCCUGUUUCUCUUUAUCGUGAAGUCUUUCAUUCUUCUCAUCCUCUGAACCGUUUAUCUAUUAAUAGUUUCCACAAUUUUAUAAGGCACAAAAUUGGGAUAACAGAGCUGAGUGGUUUGACAUCAUGAAAUUACAUCACAAGGAGCUAAUAUUAGAAUUUCUAUUUCCUGCAUUGCUGUUUCUUAACUAAUCCAUUAAACAUUCAUUGGUGAUUCAGAUACAGACAUUUCUUACCAUUGUUUCUUCAAGCAGUAACUGUAUAAAUACCGUGAGCUAAAAACUAUGGGGAAAAUAUCCAUCACAUAAAUUCCUUUGAGAAUAUUUAUAAUUUAAUUUCUUAUCUCUUUUAUUCUAUUUUUUCAAAUUUCCAUUGUAUAGGCAAUUUACAUACUUUUUAAAACCUUUUGCAAAACAAAGAUUAAAAAUGACAAAAUUGUUAAAGCAGAUGUGGUUAUUACAAAAAAAGUUUAAAGAAAAACUAAAUACACAAAUAAUGUUAGAAUAUCAGAUGUUAGAAUGCUUGAGUGCAGUCACUGUAGCCGUCACACAUGAAAAAUGUUAGGUUUUACGUCUUGGAGACAUGUGAUACACAAAGCCCCUAUUCAUUGAAAAUGCCACUAUAUCU